RNAcentral lists this ribosomal RNA (501 nucleotides) under uncultured bacterium. RNAcentral's name for it is "partial 16S ribosomal RNA". It matches the Rfam family "Bacterial small subunit ribosomal RNA", at positions 30 to 523 of the family's 1533-position model. The record is from RNAcentral.
AUUGAACGCUGGCGGCAGGCUUAACACAUGCAAGUCGAGCGGAGAGAGGUAGCUUGCUACUGAUCUUAGCGGCGGACGGGUGAGUAAUGCUUAGGAAUCUGCCUAUUAGUGGGGGACAACAUUUCGAAAGGAAUGCUAAUCCCGCAUAUGUCCUACGGGAGAAAGCAGGGGAUCUUCGGACCUUGCGCUAAUAGAUGAGCCUAAGUCGGAUUAGCUAGUUGGUGGGGUAAAGGCCUACCAAGGCGACGAUCUGUAGCGGGUCUGAGAGGAUGAUCCGCCACACUGGGACUGAGACACGGCCCAGACUCCUACGGGAGGCAGCAGUGGGGAAUAUUGGACAAUGGGCGCAAGCCUGAUCCAGCCAUGCCGCGUGUGUGAAGAAGGCCUUAUGGUUGUAAAGCACUUUAAGCGAGGAGGAGGCUACUUUAGUUAAUACCUAGAGAUAGUGGACGUUACUCGCAGAAUAAGCACCGGCUAACUCUGUGCCAGCAGCCGCCGUAA